AGGGAGAUUCUUGAAAUUUGACUUCACGCUAGUAUCUAAUUUCAAGGCAUACAUAUAGUUGACCCGAAAACUUUUGCAAGUUAGACCCAGAGAGUGCAGCCAUCAAGUGGAUUUUGCAUGCCAAGACCAUGAAGGAUCAAAGUGGCGAAGAUGGAUUAGGUGUCCAAGUGUUUUGAUGGCUGCUAUCUCAAAAAAUGGUGCAUGGAACCCCCU
Molecule: long non-coding RNA, 213 nt
Filed under: Amborella trichopoda
Lineage: Eukaryota; Viridiplantae; Streptophyta; Magnoliopsida; Amborellales; Amborellaceae
Description: long non-coding RNA (ATRI_LNC000806)
Source: RNAcentral